CUUACGUAUUUUGCUAUUGAUAACAUUAUGUGUAUAAACAAUUCUGUAUUUAUCGUUGGUAAACACAGUUGUAGAAAUUUCAUACGUCGCAUAUGCAAAUCUCCGAAUUUUCAACUUUUUAACUUUUGUUAGUUCCAGAAUUGUAAGCGUUAAUUUUUAAAUGAAUGCUUUCGGGUUUCCGCUCUAAUUUGACCUGAAAUCUCAGGUACCUGACAUAUCGGACUACCCACACAUCUCUAAUAAAUGGUAACGCGUCUACUUGAAUGAUGGGGGCGCUGCAUGUAUAGAAUUCUAUUUCAUUUACGCGCUAUUACGCAAAUGAUACGUUUCCCGCGAUCUCUUUAAUUAAACGUCAUUCGAAGACCCAAAUAUAAAGUGAUAUGCUCACGGAAAUAACGUUCUCACAUUUAACACUGCAAAUUCCAAAACAGAACACGGAAGUCAUUCACAAGAUAUUAAAAUGUACAAAAAUAUGAAAAAACUUUCAAUGAGUUGUCAGACUGAGUGCAUAAGAACACUUGUGUUUUAAAUAUAGCAUAGUGUGCAUUAUUAUUAACAGCCAUCAAACGUACAAGAGUGAUAAUUAGACAAGAUAAACCAAGAUCAUUUUAACUGUCUAUUUAGGAAGUAGUACAGAAAUAAUUUGCAAAGCUUAAUUAGAUGCCCAAGUGAUUCACAAAACGCUAUAGAUAUAAAUGUCAAGCGAACGAAUAUAAAUAGAUAGAACGUGAAAACACGUAUACUGUUUGAUUAUUAUAUUUUGCAAAAAUGUAACGAAUUGUCUACAUUGCUGAAGGUGUUGCAGCUAAUAUCGUUCGGUGAUACGUGCCAAUAUCACUAAAAAUACAAGGACCACAGUAUGCACAGAGCCCACUGUGACCGCUCACGUACGAAAUUAAAUCGUGAUUAAAGUGACCGAGGAACGGAAGUUUAAAUAAGGGAGGAAGAGAUAAAAACCCUUGAAAAGAAACACAAACUCGUGGUUAAUCUAACAUCGUGUUACUGAAGAAACAAAAUACUAAAACAUUCCGCGUGCGAGCAGCUCGCAUUACAUGAUAGCGGCAAAAGACACUAGCAUACUGAAUAAGAACGCCACGAUACAGCAUCAACGAACGUUGACGAGCGAUGCCGAAUCGACCCGACGAUCACCGACUGUCUUCGACUAUUUGUGUAAAUUAAAAAAAUUCUAACAACUUCAGUUUUGUGCUUUACGGAGAUUCCAAAUGGACCGAAUUUUGUCGAUAAGAUCGAGAUGAUCUUUUUAGAGGAAUACAAUUUACACAUGGCUGUUUAUCUAGAAAAUGAUAAUAUUAAAAAAUUAUACAAUUGCUUACGUAUUAUACUUAGUUAUACAAGGCUGGAUAUAUGUAAAUAAUUCAUACAACAACCGUAUGCAAACCACAUUUUCAUUUGCUAUACUAUUAAAGAAUAACGUAUCGAUUGAAAUAGAGGAAUAUUACAAAGCACGUAUGCAUGGAAAUAACGGAUUAAGGAAGCAUUUAUGUAGAUUCUCAAGAUUAGACACACUUUGUAUCUGAUGAUUAUACCGGAUUACUGUUCGUGACGUUACGAAUGAAUCGAUGUAAUAAAAACGUCAAAAUCGUUAGUAGCACAUUCAGUUGCAGCACGAAAGAAUCACGAACAGGCUAUUGUAACAAUGCCUCGAACAACUUCCUGUUUAAUUUUUUUUACGUUUGUUCUGAGAAUAACGUGGCUGCGAAAUAUCGACAAGUGUGCAACUGCACGUGUGCGCAGUAUAAUGGGUCAAAAUAUAAACUGAUGUUCGUUUUAUGCCGAAAUAAAUUUACCGGCUUUCUAAUGACAGGUUGUGAAUAUUUUAAAGCAUGGAAGGUUCUCUUUUGUUGUUAUGCACACUGGUUCGUUGGAGGAGACGGGAAAAUUACAAAAGGUACAUUACGAAACGUAAGGUUGUCACAGGAAUUAUUGCCAGGGUGAAUGGGGACGCAAAGUGGUUGGCCACUCCUUUGAAGUUUGAUAAACAAACAGAUUUUAUGCAGAGAUGUUUAUGAACUUAUGGAGAUUUUAUGCAGGUACAUCGCUAUCUUAUAUUUGAUAAAGAAAAAUGUUUUCCAGGUUAUGUAAAAAAGGAAGAAUAACUGAAAUAUGAAAAAGGAAUUCGUGCAUGGUAUUCUAUGGAUCCAAACGUUAAUCAUGCAAUCUGAUCAACUGUCUUCUCUGCGCAGUUCUAAGAAAACAUGCAACUAAUAGGCCUCCUACGAAACACGCAAUUAUUACCAACGUUAAACAAGUGGAUACGAACUAUAGAUAUGAUACUUCUCCUUGUACAUGUACAGCAAACAAUUAACCAUCACGUGGACUAUUAUCGCCUCAACAGUUCUAAUUUGUUAUAGUUGUUGAUACAUAAAAUUUCUGUUAUACAAGUGCAUGGAAACGUCCAAGAAUCGAGUGACAAACAUUAUGGGAAAGUUCAAUGCUUUCAAUGAUUCACUUUAGGAUCUAAAGUUUCUAGAGAUAAUUAGUUGAAAACGUUGAUUGAACAAAUAGAAGCUAGAAGCGUGAAGAUUAAUCGCCGUAAAUUGUAUCGAGCCGUUAAGCCUAUUACCUCCGGGCAUUGUUGUCCUAGAAUCUCUAUUAGGUUUACUAUUUGUUCGCUACUUGCCAUUUCGUUUAACACUUUGACUGUUGGCGAUUUUAAUAAAGUAUUUAUUUAUGCUUACGUUAUUCAAAAGUUACAACUUCAAGCCUUAGGCAUACAGUAGAUUCUCGUUAUAUUAACACCAAAGAAAACUGUAUUUAGCAAAACUUCUUAUAAUUAUAAUAAAACGAAAAUCGACUGUAUCGUACGGUCAUGUAUAUAACAAAUUAAUAAUGGCUAAUAUUGCAAACACAAUCAACGUGUUAACAGUUGUGAAUUUUUAUGUCACCGUUAGCAUGCUUGUUUCGCAUCAUCGAGAUUGAUAGAAUUGAGAAUAUCGGAUGUUCUUAUUAUCAGAAUCUGCGCACUCGUAACCAGCUAUUCAGUGUAUCCUGUUAUUAUUCCAGAAUUAUUCUUGAUGAAACGUGCAUAUGCUUUUCUGCACAAUUACUGUGUUUCACAACUGCUUUACAAAAUGUUGCACGACAACAGGAAUUUAACGAAGAAGAGAGGAUGUGCAAGAACUUAUAAAAAGAAAUAUAAAAGGUGAUCUAUACGACACACACGCGAUUCUGUUUUAUAACACGAGAAGAGGGAAAAACUUCUCAUCAAUUGCGUUUCAAAGAGUACGAACGUUCGACGAUCAAAGAAUUUAUUUUACACAGAGGUUUUAUUAUAGUACGAAGAUUUCACAUCCGAUAACAUCUGAGAUCAAAAAGAAGCAGGAAACUCGAGUCAAUCGAACAAGCUCCAUUCAUGUUUUCUUACUACGCUCGGCGGCGGCCUUCCAUGUUUCCGGGGGGCAUAUCGACGGGUCACAUCAAGACGAAUUCACCAUCCCGAAAAGGAAAAGAGGAAAAUUUCGUUCCGCUUAAUUAUACAAAAACUUGGUGGUACGUCAACUUUCUUCCGUCGUUGAUAAAUCGGCGAUACAGUUUUCCUCGCAAAAAUUCACGGCUAACGAAACCGAAGCGUGUGGUCAAAAAUUCUUGCUUCUUGGCACCGACAAUGACAACAACACGAGAAAACUGGACGCGCGUGCGGCGCCGCGAGCCUAUCAACGUUCCUUCUCACAAAUGAUAUUUAUUGUCCUCGAUUUAGAUACGAUUCCCCUCUGUUCAUCAGCAGACGCGGGCACACCCUUCCGCAGAGAUAAACGCAGAAAUUUAUGAAGACGGUAGUAUAACAAGAGCUCAAUAUUACGCUUUAUUGUGCUUGACUGGCUACGGCGCAACGUGGAGUGGUGUCCCGUUCGAGAGGGGUCAGGAGAAAGGAGCUUAGGAACCAACCAUGCUUUCUUAUACCUUCCACAUUUCCUCCAGAUCAGUGUUUCAAAAUGGUGAUUUUCCCGAACCCCACACUUUCCUCAUUGGGAAGUUUUAUAUUGACGAGUGGCGUCAUGUAUUCGUGACCGUAAUGCUCAAUUCUGUAUUUCAUUGUUCUUUAUUUUAUUGAUAUUUAUUUUAGUAGUAUUACAGAUAAGCUCUUAAAUAUAAUCUUCUUUCAGAUGUUAAAAAAAAUUUACAGUUACAAGAUUCGGAUUCGGAAUGUAAAACCAUCAAAGUGUUAACAUGUUGACUGCCACGGUUAUAGGUAACAGAUGUUACAAGGUUAUUUUUUAAGUACAGUAGACUCUCGUUAUAUUGUCACUUUGAUAAGAACUUUCGUACACAGCGCGUUCUCCUACCAUGCACUUUGAGAUCCACGGACAGCGUCAUGGCAUCAAAAGUCAUUGGCAUUCAUUCCUGAUCGAUAAAUGUGAUAUAAAAUUAUCGGUAAUUAACAGUAGUAUAUCGGUAAUAUACCAGUGAUCGAUACUGAAUGUACUGCAAAAUCAAUAACGCAUCGAUAAUGUACCGAUAAUCGAUAGCAGUUAAUAAGACAGCAAGUUAUCCAUUAUAUUGCCAUACGUUAUAUUACACCUUUAAUCUCACAUACUGUCAUUGCCAAGAUUGUUACAGCACCACCUGUGACAAUAUAACGUGUACUGUAAAUACAUAUCUUUAAAUAAGUACAAUAAACAGGUAACUUGUAGU
Molecule: long non-coding RNA, 4653 nt
Organism: Megachile rotundata (alfalfa leafcutting bee)
Lineage: Eukaryota; Metazoa; Arthropoda; Insecta; Hymenoptera; Megachilidae
Source: RefSeq, a predicted model, not a curated record